RNAcentral lists this ribosomal RNA (468 nucleotides) under uncultured bacterium. Its description in RNAcentral is "partial 16S ribosomal RNA". It matches the Rfam family "Bacterial small subunit ribosomal RNA", at positions 28 to 507 of the family's 1533-position model. The record is from RNAcentral.
GACGAACGCUGGCGGCGUGCUUAACACAUGCAAGUCGAACGGAAAGGCCCUGCUUUUGUGGGGUGCUCGAGUGGCGAACGGGUGAGUAACACGUGAGUAACCUGCCCUUGACUUUGGGAUAACUUCAGGAAACUGGGGCUAAUACCGGAUAGGAGCUCCUGCUGCAUGGUGGGGGUUGGAAAGUUUCGGCGGUUGGGGAUGGACUCGCGGCUUAUCAGCUUGUUGGUGGGGUAGUGGCUUACCAAGGCUUUGACGGGUAGCCGGCCUGAGAGGGUGACCGGCCACCUUGGGACUGGGGUACGGCCCAGACUCCUACGGGGGGCAACAGUGGGGAAUAUUGCACAAUGGGCGGGAGCCUGAUGCAGCAACGCCGCGUGCGGGAUGACGGCCUUCGGGUUGUAAACCGCUUUCGCCUGUGACGAAGCGUUAGUGACGGUAAUGGGUAAAGAAGCACCGGCUAACUACGUG